Molecule: long non-coding RNA, 817 nt
Filed under: Equus asinus (donkey)
Lineage: Eukaryota; Metazoa; Chordata; Mammalia; Perissodactyla; Equidae
Description: lncRNA (ENSEASG00005029152.1)
Source: RNAcentral
AAAAGAGUGGAGAUGUAUGUGUUUUAAGCAUGUGCCUACUUUAGAUUGUCUUUUUUCUUUUAUUGGUUUUGUUAAAAAAAAAAAAAGGACAUUUAUUUCCCACACAAUCACAAAAAGGAAAGAAAGAAAGAAAAAGCUUGGCAAAGCAAUAUUUUGUAUUCAUUUCAGGAACUCUCAACCUGAUCGAGAAAAAUGAUGGAACAUCUUCUCGUCUUCAGGUGCCCAAGACGUAUUUAGUCCCUGAGAAUCGUCCUAAGAGAGGCAUUUUCCGGUUAGCCUGCAGCUUCAGGAAGACCCGGCACAGGAGAGAGGCUGGCAGAGCUGAAAGCUCAGAGGAUGACAUCGGACUUGCCGGGGCGCGUAGAGGACAGUGCUGGGCUGGUAGAUUGGCCUUUGGGUUUCCGUGUUUCAGGACUCUUUGGGCCACAGGAUUGAAAGCAGGAGUUCUUCAAGAUCGUUCUCUCUCCCUUUCUGGCCUGGCAUUAGAGAAGAUUGUGCUAAUGGAGGAAGGAGGCAGCCGGGGGAGGCUGGGGAGCAGAAGGUGAGAGAAGGGGAGGGGGCAGAAAGCAGGCUGGAGAGGUUCUCUCAGACCUGAACUGUCCAGGUCCUUACUCCCUUCCCUCCCAGGGCCCCAGGGAGGAGGCAGAGCUUCCCUGGACCCAUGGACCCCCAUCUUCUGCAGAGGCCACGGCCCAGGAACAGGUGAGCGGCUGGCCUGUCAGGACCUUGGGCUGUGAGAACAUCAAUACCCAGAGGCCCUUCCAUGACCCCCAGGUGGGUAGUGCCACUGUGCUUCCAGGAUGAGCCUCGCUCACUU